GAUGAACGCUGGCGGCGUGCCUAAUACAUGCAAGUCGAGCGCACGGACGAGAAGCUUGCUUCUCUGAUGUUAGCGGCGGACGGGUGAGUAACACGUGGAUAACCUACCUAUAAGACUGGGAUAACUUCGGGAAACCGGAGCUAAUUCCGGAUAAUAUUUUGAACCGCAUGGUUCAAAAGUGAAAGACGGUCUUGCUGUCACUUAUAGAUGGAUCCGCGCUGCAUUAGCUAGUUGGUAAGGUAACGGCUUACCAAGGCAACGAUGCAUAGCCGAGCUGAGAGGGUGAUCGGCCACACUGGAACUGAGACACGGUCCAGACUCCUACGGGAGGCAGCAGUAGGGAAUCUUCCGCAAUGGGCGAAAGCCUGACGGAGCAACGCCGCGUGAGUGAUGAAGGUCUUCGGAUCGUAAAACUCUGUUAUUAGGGAAGAACAUAUGUGUAAGUAACUGUGCACAUCUUGACGGUACCUAAUCAGAAAGCCACGGCUAACUACGUG
Molecule: ribosomal RNA, 497 nt
Filed under: uncultured bacterium
Lineage: Bacteria
Description: partial 16S ribosomal RNA
Rfam family: Bacterial small subunit ribosomal RNA
Source: RNAcentral